GCGAGGCAAUAUUGAAUCAAAGUACGGAUAGUACUGAAAGGUGAUGGCGUGUGUUGCGAAAAGCUUAACUCGGGUGAACUUAAAACAGAACAGAGAUAGUAAUUACAUAAAUGUGGAAUCAUUAAUGGUAAUUCAUUUUACUCGAGCUCGGUCUAUCAUGCAUCGCAUCAUAUGAUACUUCAUACUGUGACCAAUCAACAGGGGAUACUUACUCCUCCUAGGCACCUGAUCCCACCUCUGGUGUGUCCAGGAGUCCGCGUUUGUUCUACUUUUAAUUUUGUUUUCUUUAUAGAAAUUAUGAGAUUGAUUACUGUU
This is a long non-coding RNA of Ostrea edulis (European flat oyster), 315 nucleotides long. RefSeq lists it as uncharacterized. The transcript has 2 exons. NCBI's taxonomy places the organism in Eukaryota, Metazoa, Mollusca, Bivalvia, Ostreida, Ostreidae. The record is from RefSeq and is a predicted model, not a curated record.